GCGUUACUGGACGUCUUAAACUUCGAAAGGGCGGGGUUUGGAACCGGAUUUAGAUUACCCUGGUGUUCCGCCGGGUAAACGAUGGAGCCCGCUGUUUGCUUUAAAGUAAGCGGCCAAGGGAAAACGGUAAGCUUCCCACCUGGGGGGUACCCCGGCAACGGUGAAAUUCAAAGGAAUUGACGGGGGGCCGCCCCAAGCGGAGGAACAAUGUGGUUAAAUUCGAUGAUACGCGAGGAACCUUACCCGGGCUUGAAUUGCUGAGGAAAGAUCCAGAGAUGGUGAUGCCCUUCGGGGCCUCAGUGAAGGUGCUGCAUGGUUGUCGUCAGCUCGUGCCGUGAGGUGUCGGCUUAAGUGCCAUAACGAGCGCAACCCCUCUCUUCAGUUGCCAUCAGGCUAUGCUGGGCACUCUGGAGACACUGCCCCCCCAAGGUGUGAGGAAGGUGGGGAUGACGUCAAAUCAGCACGGCCCUUACGUCCGGGGCUACACACGUGUUACAAUGGGGGGCACAGAGAGCCGGGUGCGCGCAAGCUUGCCCAAAUCCUUAAAUCCCCCCACAGUUCGGACUGGGGUCUGCAACCCGACCCCACGAAGCUGGAUUCGCUAGUAAUCGCGCAUCAGCCAUGGCGCGGUGAAUACGUUCCCGGGCCUUGUACACACCGCCCGUCAAG
This 669-nucleotide ribosomal RNA is filed under the name uncultured bacterium. RNAcentral describes it as "bacterial SSU rRNA". It matches the Rfam family "Bacterial small subunit ribosomal RNA", at positions 733 to 1401 of the family's 1533-position model. The record is from RNAcentral.